GUUGUAUGGUUAAGUGACUAAGCGUACACGGUGGAUGCCUUGGCAGUCAGAGGCGAUGAAGGACGUAUUAACUUGCGAUAAGCCCAGAUUAGGCAGUAAAAGCCACUUGAGUCUGGGAUUUCCGAAUGGGGAAACCCACUAGCAUAAGCUAGUAUCAUUAACUGAAUACAUAGGUUAAUGAAGCGAACCGGGGG
RNAcentral lists this ribosomal RNA (194 nucleotides) under Photobacterium kishitanii. RNAcentral describes it as "partial 23S ribosomal RNA". It matches the Rfam family "Bacterial large subunit ribosomal RNA", at positions 1 to 190 of the family's 2925-position model. Lineage: Bacteria; Pseudomonadati; Pseudomonadota; Gammaproteobacteria; Vibrionales; Vibrionaceae. The record is from RNAcentral.